Molecule: long non-coding RNA, 443 nt
Organism: Cottoperca gobio
Lineage: Eukaryota; Metazoa; Chordata; Actinopteri; Perciformes; Bovichtidae
Exons: 3
Source: RefSeq, a predicted model, not a curated record
ACUCUGCCUUUCUCUUCAUCUUUCCCUUUUUGCCACAGCACCUCCGGAAGCAGAAACUGCAGGUCUUGAUGAAGAGGAGUAAGAAAAACAGAACUAUGGCGAGGAGGAAGGCCAGGACAUCCAGGCUGUGAUACUGGUACCAGCGAACAGAUGCAUAAUGCUGAUUGAGCUGCUCAAUCAUACUUUCUAAAAAGAAAGCCCUCAAGAGGAUCUGCUGUCAUUGUGGGGCUACGUACUCUGUGAGCCAAACACAUCCGUAAAGAGGAGUGUAAUUACCACUAUGGGAAAGGAGUUACAAAGAAAGUGCCAGGUGGAGUGGAGACCCACUACAGCUGUUGUGAGGGAGUCAUGGGAGUUCCAGCAUUAGUCCCGUCUUCCUGUUUCCCAAGUGUUUGAUUCCCCGACUUCCUCGACCUUGUUUCCGUGACUCGAUUCUGUCUUUG